GCACUCCCGGGGCGUCUCUAUCUCAUUGCGAGAGGAGGCGCACCUAGAGCGUACACGCUGAUACCCGAAAGAUGGUGAACUAUGCCUGGCCAGGACGAAGCCAGGGGAAACCCUGGUGGAGGUCCGCAGCGAUUCUGACGUGCAAAUCGAUCGUCGGAGCUGGGUUUAGGGGCGAAAGACCAAUCGAACCAUCUAGUAGCUGGUUCCCUCUGAAGUUUCCCUCAGGAUAGCUUGCGCUCGGACGAUACGAGUCUCAUCCGGUAGAGCGAAUGAUUAGAGGCCUUGGGGUCGAAACGACCUCAACCUAUUCUCAAACUCCAAAUAGAUGAGAACCCCGGCUUUCUUGAACCAUGUUUAUGAAGCCGGGGGCUUGGAUCAGAGUGCCAAGUGGGCCAAUUUUGGUAAGCAGAACUGGCGCUGUGGGAUGAACCAAACGCGGAGUUAAGGCGCCUCAAUCGACGCUCAUGUGAAACCAUGAAAGGCGUUGGUUGCUUAAGACAGCAG
RNAcentral lists this ribosomal RNA (504 nucleotides) under Polymerias opacipennis. RNAcentral's name for it is "partial large subunit ribosomal RNA". It matches the Rfam family "Eukaryotic large subunit ribosomal RNA", at positions 755 to 1243 of the family's 3401-position model. Lineage: Eukaryota; Metazoa; Arthropoda; Insecta; Hemiptera; Miridae. The record is from RNAcentral.